Molecule: long non-coding RNA, 1567 nt
Organism: Ruditapes philippinarum (Manila clam)
Lineage: Eukaryota; Metazoa; Mollusca; Bivalvia; Venerida; Veneridae
Exons: 3
Source: RefSeq, a predicted model, not a curated record
GGUUGACUCUGAGAGUGACGUCGGCACAAUACCGGCAAGUGAAGAUGUAAGUGAUAAGUUGCUCAGAGCUACACAGCUUCAAUUCUAUCGAGAAGAAAUAAUGACAGCUGAGAAGAGGCGACAGUUAAUGGAUAUUGAGAAAAAGUUCUUUAAAAAUGCUGAGAAUUUUUUCCAAAGGAACGAACGUGACGAUGAUAUUGAAUGAGAAAAGGGUUGAUUAGAUAGAACAGCUUAUUGGACCAUUUGACUGAUCAUUAACUGAAAUCAAAGCAAACAGACUGUCAAAUGAUUGUGAACGUGAUGGUUUGGAACUUGCUGAUUGAUGCUUACAUUUCGAAUACUUAAUUUCUUUUUUAGACACGGCCUUCCGGUUAUAGCUAAACUUCUUCUUCUCAUCAUGAUUAUAUUUAUGUUCAAUAUAUUGCUUAAACCUGAUUUGUAAUAAAGACAGUGCAUGGAAUUGAAAUCUGUUCUUUCUUUUAAGGGAAAAUAUUCAACGCUUUAAUGGCAAUGCUAUAUGUAACGGAAACACGUCAGCUAGGGAAAAGAUGUUUCAUUUUUUAGUUUAUCGGAAUGUGGAUUAUCAGAGUUGGCAUAUAAACUUUUAAAACAAUUAUAAAUGAGAACUGGCAUUUACCCAAUUUCAUGAAAACGACAGGGGGCGGGCGCGUAUUUUUCAUCAAAUGUUUCGAUACAAAAUAUAUAGUCCGUGCUUUCAGAUAGUUCUCAUGCAGUGAUCGGAAAGUAAAAGUGAAUAUCAAAAACAGUAUACAAGGAAGGUAAUGGUUAUUGGGCCCUACACUUUUUAAUGACAUAUUUCUACGUAAGAACAUUCAAGUUGCCAUCGCCGAAUAUAUUUUCCGUUUUCGCGAUGGGCUUUUCAACUCUAUUUAGAUAUAUUCUGACGCGCAAUUUCUUGUAGAUAUCUCCUAAAGUAAUUGAAAAUGUAAAAUUACAAAGAGCAACACUUUCAAAAAAAUAAUGCUUAAAAGUUAUCAAAUUAUUAUUAUAGCACUUUUCCCUCAUGAAGUUAAACGGGAGAGUAUGGAUACGUUAAAAGGCGUCCAAUAAGUAAGCGCAACUCGACUGACUGUUUUAACACAAAUCAAUUUACUUUAUUCACAAAGAUUAAAAAAAACCCGUUAAUUUCGCCGAACCUUUUCUCGAUAUGCUUAAAGAUUCCGUAACACAAUUUUUUCAUGGUUUUAUUUCAUAAAUAUGAUGCUCAAAUUAAGAUUUGUCCGUAUUGUAAGUUCCAAUGAGCAUUAUCUAUAAAGAUAUUACCCAAUUUAACAUUUCAUGUAAAUAAAGGGAGGUAAUUAGAAAUUUAUUUUCUAUAAAUUCUAAGUCAAAUUUUCCAAUAAGAAAUGAAUGCAAGUAAUUUAUUGAUUAAAAUAUUUGCAGUACACAUUUUACAUAUUCUUCGAUGUUUGAAAAUUGUUUUAUUUGCAUUAUUAUUUUCAUAUAUAAUUUUUUGUAAGUGUGGUAUACAGACAGGCCUUUUGCUGGCACCAACAACCCUUUUCAGGGCUAACCUUACCUAUUGUCAAAAUCUCAUUGACUGCCG